CACAGGCCCGGUGAAAUUGCAGUACGAGUAAAGAUGCUCGUUACGCGCGGCAGGACGAAAAGACCCCGGGACCUUCACUAUAGCUUGGUAUUGGUGUUUGGUUCGGUUUUGUGUAGGAUAGGUGGGAGACUGUGAAGUGGUCACGCUAGUGGUUGUGGAGUCGAAAGUUGAAAUACCACUCUGAUCGGAUUGAGCACCUGAACCUU
Molecule: ribosomal RNA, 206 nt
Filed under: Corynebacterium diphtheriae
Lineage: Bacteria; Bacillati; Actinomycetota; Actinomycetes; Mycobacteriales; Corynebacteriaceae
Description: partial 23S ribosomal RNA
Rfam family: Bacterial large subunit ribosomal RNA
Source: RNAcentral